AGCAGCCGCCACGGUAACACGAGGGGAGCUAGCGUUGUUCGGAAUUACUGAGCGUAAAGCGCGCGUAGGCGGCUUUUUAAGUCAGAGGUGAAAGCCCGGGGCUCAACCCCGGAAUUGCCUUUGAAACUGGAAAGCUAGAAUCUUGGAGAGGUCAGUGGAAUUCCGAGUGUAGAGGUGAAAUUCGUAGAUAUUCGGAAGAACACCAGUGGCGAAGGCGACUGACUGGACAAGUAUUGACGCUGAGGUGCGAAAGCGUGGGGAGCAAACAGGAUUAGAUACCCCUGUAGUCCCUGUCUCUUAUAC
Molecule: ribosomal RNA, 303 nt
Filed under: uncultured bacterium
Lineage: Bacteria
Description: partial 16S ribosomal RNA
Rfam family: Bacterial small subunit ribosomal RNA
Source: RNAcentral